UGGGGAAUAUUGCACAAUGGAGGGAACUCUGAUGCAGCGACGCCGCGUGAACGAAGAAGGCUUUCGAGUCGUAAAGUUCUUUUAUAUGGGAAGAUAAUGACGGUACCAUAAGAAAAAGCCCCGGCUAACUACGUGCCAGCAGCCGCGGUAAUACGUAGGGGGCUAGCGUUGUCCGGAAUCACUGGGCGUAAAGGGUUCGCAGGCGGAAAUGCAAGUCAGGUGUAAAAGGCAGUAGCUUAACUACUGUAAGCAUUUGAAACUGCAUAUCUUGAGAAGAGUAGAGGUAAGUGGAAUUUUUAGUGUAGCGGUGAAAUGCGUAGAUAUUAAAAAGAAUACCGGUGGCGAAGGCGACUUACUGGGCUCAUUCUGACGCUGAGGAACGAAAGCGUGGGCAGCAAACAGG
Molecule: ribosomal RNA, 403 nt
Filed under: Fusobacteriota bacterium
Lineage: Bacteria; Fusobacteriati; Fusobacteriota
Description: Fusobacteria bacterium partial 16S ribosomal RNA
Rfam family: Bacterial small subunit ribosomal RNA
Source: RNAcentral